Long non-coding RNA from Syngnathoides biaculeatus (alligator pipefish), 2360 nucleotides. RefSeq lists it as uncharacterized. The transcript is spliced from 5 exons. The record is from RefSeq and is a predicted model, not a curated record. Lineage: Eukaryota; Metazoa; Chordata; Actinopteri; Syngnathiformes; Syngnathidae.
GUCACAAUGCGUUCCGAGCCGGCACGCCAGUGAGACUGUGUGUGCAUCGACUGCAAAUAUAAAAAGGAGUUAAGCCGCCUAACUGGAGAAAUAUAGCUGAGGGCCACACUGCAGUCUGAAGAUGCUGAUAGAAUAAGCAACUGAUCGUCAUGGAUACACGUAUCCAGAAAAUCCAAAGGAGAAGGCAAACAUGCACGCCGCCGCAACAGGAGGGAGGGAGAGCACCAACAUCAUCAUUUGUGCAACAGAAAGAAAGCAGACAUGGAAGAAAAGCUACUCGUAAUUUUAAUAAAUGGAGGCAGCGGUGUGAAACAAAUCUUCCUAUUCCUCUGCAGUAAGGAAGCGAACUGCCGUAACUGGAGCAACGUGGCCGGUGAAUACGUGCGCAGGAUGGGAGGUCAUGUAGUAGUUCCACAACACAACCCGAUGAUCUACACCUGCAGUGGCUAUAAACAAUCCCAUAGUAUCAAAUUACACAAGGCACUCUCAUCAGGAUCCCUCGCUCUCGGACAAGUUGGUCUCGGAAUGAUGCGACUGCUGAGUCAUUAUUGAACGGUCCAAUGACUCUAAAGAGACGGAGCUGAAUGACGAAAGGGAUCAAUGACACGAUAAAGCGACCUCUUUGUCAACCCAGGAUGAUGUGGGAGAGUCUCAGGGGAAAGUGGGACAAGCCUUCACCUCAAACUUCAUGCCAGCAUUCAAAACUCUGGCACAGGGAGUGGGGGGCUCGGGACUCACCCCCGUCCACCUCUGCUGCAUUUGCUGUUAUUGGAGUUAUGCUGAAUGAGCAAUAUCACAUAUUUUGGCACUAGAGUGCAGGUGGCAAGGUGAAAACAUUGCAACAGAGCCUGAAUACUGUCCGUGUGAUUUUUAAGUUGCUUUUUUCCUCAUUUCCCCGAAUGUGUUUUCAAGAAUGUACAAUAUACCAUGGAUAUCUUAGAAAUAUACUGUACACUUAGUCCUCGGUUUACGACUAAGAUCCUUGCUACAGUAGCGACUUAAAGGUCAAGUGUCAUGAAAAACAUGAUUUUUACUACGUUAUUAAUGAAAAAACGGCAGCCGGUAUGGACCCAUCUGUUUUUUCACCAGAAAACAUGAUUUUGACGUGUAUGGCUUUUUGUUACUCCCAGCAUGAAAAUCCUCUCGAGGGAUUUGUUUUUGAGAAGAAGCAGGAAGUGAGCGUACACGGCGGGACCGCCCUCCAGCGUACUCGUUUGUUUCUAUUAGUUUUACCUGCGGGAGGCUAGCUCGUUGUUCUUUCGUUUUAGCCAAAAUGCCGGCUUGUUGCAUUGCUGGGUAUUGGUUGAACACUUGGGAGGAUAGAUUUACUCUUCAUAAGUUUCCAAGUCGUGAAAAAUGUAUUGCACGGGUGCAAAGGUCAGGUAGGUGUGUAUACAGCUACUAAAAAAAAUAAUAGUUUGAGGCGGACCACGUAAUCGGUCUCUCAUAACGUAACAAGAGAUCUGCAUAAAUAUGUCAGGCAUGCUAAAUGUGUCGAUGUGCGCGUCGGACGGCUUCCGUGUCAGGCUGCCGGCGAAGGCUGCCACGUCGGCUCGCGGACGGCAGCGGCUAUGAACAACGCUCCCGACAAUAGCGCACUCAGCCCCGUGCGACGACAACGCCAUAAAAGCGCCCGGCUCGCCUCCGUGAUAAGCCACCUUGGCGCCGAAAAUGAGCCACCCCGGCUGAGGCGCCGUGUCUGUUGGUCAAGAUGGCUUCGGCUAUGAACAGUGCGUGCGACGACAACGCCGUAAAGCGCCCCGUCUAGGCGGUGUUGUUCGUUCCAUAUGGCGGCGGCUAUGAACAACGCUGUGAAAUUGGUCCUCAAUCCUCUCCAUCUCGACAAAUAUCAAAGAACCUCGUUUUGUGAUCAUUGUUUCUGACAUGAGAACGGAACCCUUCACAUGUGCUAAAAUACGGGCUUUGUCUUUAAUAAUCGUCACCACGGUCGACCGACUGAAGCCUCGGUGGUGUUGGUGUCUCUCCUUUCUCCAAUCUUUUUAUGAUCUUGAGCUUCGUUUUCCAUGGUAAUGGAUUUUCUUUUUGCUCCAGAAGACACAGCUUUCUUCUUUGGGGCGAUAAUGUCAAAAUGCAAAGCUACUCCCGGCGCACAAACACGGACAAGCAUUAGCCGGACAAAAUGGCGGACGGGGGACGAGCGUUGUAAAGUUGAAACGUCUUAACUUGAGGACUCCCUGUAUACGGUAACUCCUAAUAGGACAGACAGGGAGGGAGGAGCACAGAUGAUUUGAAAUAUUAUCACUGGUAUUCAAAGUAAUCGCAAAAGUCCACUUCUCUUCAUGUGCUUUCCAUGAUGUGCUUUGCAUUUCAUGUAAAAUUUUAAAAAAUUAAAAAAAGAA